Molecule: non-coding RNA, 1105 nt
Organism: Theobroma cacao (cacao)
Lineage: Eukaryota; Viridiplantae; Streptophyta; Magnoliopsida; Malvales; Malvaceae
Source: RefSeq, a predicted model, not a curated record
CCAACACACCCCCUCUCUUCCCCUCCCCCCAGGCUCUCCUCUUUCCCUCCCCUUUUUCUUUCUCUAUAAAGCUGGUAGACAGAUUAUAUGUUGGUAGAGUGGUCCAUGAAACUCUGUAUGGCCAUGCUUUUUCUCCUUCUUCUCUCUGUCUGUCUUCCUUUUCAUCACUACUCUGUGUUUUAGGUCAAGAAAAAGGCUGUGCAGAUUUGAGUUUUGAGAUCUGAGGUCAAGCAUUUUCAGUGGAUGGUUCAUGGGUCUUUUUUUUUCUUUUUACUCUCUUUGAAGUCUUGGCCAUGCUUUUCCACAGCUUUCUUGAACUUUCUUUGUGAACGACUCGAUCUCAAAAAUAUUAGCUUAUGCUAGAUAAUAGCUAUAUAGCACACCGAGGAAGCUCAAGAAAGCUGUGGGAAAACAUGGCAAUUCAGGACUUUUUUUCCCUCGUUUCAGUACAUUCAACCAAGAUUUAUUUCUGCAGAAAAUGAAGAAAUAUACUCCACAUCUUUUUAUCCGCAUACAGAGCAUGGUAAGGUGUAGUCCCUCAUUUUCAUCAUGGCCAUUUUAUUUUCCUUCUGAAUUAUGAUCCAAAAUUUUUGCAGCUUUUUCUCAUAGAAAAGGUUUCUGAUGCUGGAUUACAAGCCCUUUUGCGAAGACGGGUCGGGACUAUAUGCUAAUUGAUGGUUAUAGAAUUGAAUUCAAGUUUGGUAUAGAGUCAAAUAUUGUUGAAUUGAGGAAGCAAUUUUGCUAGCUAUAGUAUGAUUUAUUUGACAAUGUAUGGCUGGAAGGGGUAAGACGAUCAUGACAGAAGAAGUUUCAUACGUGUGAAGACAGCAUUGGCGGACAGCAGAAGAACAGCCAAGGAACAUAAAGUAUAUCUACCUUCACAAGCACCUCUUAUUCCAACUACUUUUUUUUUUGUUUGCCCCUCCCUUUUUUCCCUUCCUUUCCUUUUCUGUUUCUUUUUGGUUUUUAUAGAUUUCAUCCAAUUAUGUUCUAGCAAGUAGCAAGAAUAUUACAGCUGAGACAUUUUAACAUAUACUCACUCAGUCACCGGUUCCAGGCAAUGUAGUUUUCAUUUGUCUUGAUAAUUACAUUUAGUUUAUUAUUA